ACGUAACGUCUCUUCUUCAAGUCUUCUCAGAGGUUGGAGAUUCCCUGUCUUCUCCAACCUCUGCCAAGUCUUCAGAGAGGUUGGAGUGCGCCUGUCUGAGGUACUAGACCCCAGAUGAGGAUCUCGGGAAGAUCCACAAAGCUGCGUCCAGGGGAACGAACGUGUGGAAGCUGCAGCGGAGCCUCCUGCUCAAGAGUAAAGGACCGGUCUGAAACCUACAAGAACAGAAGAGCCAUGUGACCGGAUCCCUGGUUUGGCAGAGGAGAAAUGUGAGAAGAUGGAACGUUUUUGCUGAAGAGACCUCUGGCAGAGUGGAAUGGAGAGAAUAGGUGGCAGAGAGAACCUCUGAGAAGCUCGCAGGAUUCACAGAAGGAGAAUCGGGAGAAGAUUGCCUGUUUGCCUGAAGGAAUGGCAAGUUCCAAAGCCAUUCUGUGGGCAGUGUUUAGUUCAUGUCCGCUUUGCCGGUAGGCCGAGUAGCAACAGCUGCAGUUGGUGUGUUCUCUGAAGGCAGUAUCUGAAGGGUGGAGGGGUUGCUUUUCUUCCCAGGUGUCUUUUGAA
This 558-nucleotide long non-coding RNA is filed under the name Pongo abelii (Sumatran orangutan). RNAcentral's name for it is "lincRNA". The record is from RNAcentral. Lineage: Eukaryota; Metazoa; Chordata; Mammalia; Primates; Hominidae.